Suncus etruscus (white-toothed pygmy shrew) is the source of this 105-nucleotide small nuclear RNA. NCBI's taxonomy places the organism in Eukaryota, Metazoa, Chordata, Mammalia, Eulipotyphla, Soricidae. The record is from RefSeq and is a predicted model, not a curated record.
GUACUCACUUCGGCAGCACAUAUACUAAAAUCGUAAUGAUAGAGAAAAUUAGCAUGGCCCCUGUGCAAGGAUGACAUGCAAAUUAGUGAAGUGUUCCAUAUUUUU